Molecule: ribosomal RNA, 252 nt
Filed under: uncultured bacterium
Lineage: Bacteria
Description: partial 16S ribosomal RNA
Rfam family: Bacterial small subunit ribosomal RNA
Source: RNAcentral
UACGUAGGCAGCAAGCGUUGUUCGGAGUUACUGGGCGUAAAGGGCGCGUAGGCGGCCUUGCAAGUCGGUUGGUGAAAGCCCGGGGCUCAACCCCGGAGGUGCGGCCGAGACUGCAGGCUGGAGGCCGGAAGAGGAGGGUGGAAUACCAGUGUAGAGGUGAAAUUCGUAGAUAUUGGGUGGAACACCGGUGGCGAAAGCGGCUCUCUGGUCCGGACCUGACGCUGAGGCGCGAAAGCGUGGGGAGCAAACAGG